AAAUAAGGUAAGCUAAAACCAAGCUAGUGGGCUCAUAACCCAAAAAUGAUAAUUUCCCUUAUU
RNAcentral lists this transfer RNA (63 nucleotides) under Unio delphinus. RNAcentral describes it as "tRNA-Met". Lineage: Eukaryota; Metazoa; Mollusca; Bivalvia; Unionida; Unionidae. The record is from RNAcentral.